RNAcentral lists this transfer RNA (73 nucleotides) under Vicugna pacos (alpaca). RNAcentral's name for it is "tRNA-Ala (AGC) (tRNA-Ala-AGC-463-1)". It matches the Rfam family "tRNA". Rfam says of the family: Transfer RNA (tRNA) molecules are approximately 80 nucleotides in length. Lineage: Eukaryota; Metazoa; Chordata; Mammalia; Artiodactyla; Camelidae. The record is from RNAcentral.
GGUGGGUGUAGCUCAGUGGUAGAGCACAUGCUUAGCAUGCAUGAGGUCCUGGGUUUAAUUCCCAGCACCCCCA